Pieris rapae (cabbage white) is the source of this 1080-nucleotide RNA transcript. RefSeq lists it as uncharacterized. Lineage: Eukaryota; Metazoa; Arthropoda; Insecta; Lepidoptera; Pieridae. The transcript has 4 exons. The record is from RefSeq and is a predicted model, not a curated record.
GCUAUCUGAAGCGUGGGCGAAUAAUUGAUACUGCCCACAAUGGAUUCAUUCAACAACAUUGGUCGGGAUUGUACAUUUAUUAAAUAAAACCAACCACAAAGAUGAUUAUUGAAACACCGAUAUGUCAAAGAUGCUGCUUUUGCCUGCCUCUUCGAAGAGGUAUCAUCGCGUUUGGAUACUUUAAUAUUCUAUGGUCGACUUUAAUGACAGGGUUCAUGAUUUAUACUGACCACACCAUUCUUCUCAUACACGGGACGACGCAAGACUGGGGCGAACCUGCAGCUUAUAUUGCCAGAAUUAUGGAUAUAGUGUUAAGCGUGGUGUUGGUUGUUGGCGGCCAUAAGAAUUUGACAGUGUGCCUCAAAGUUUUCUUCUACUACACAUCUUUAACAUUACUAGCAAUAUUCGUUAUCCAAAUAUAUGCCUUAAGUACAACAUUGUACUUCAAUUCUGUAAUGGAGACAGGGUUGUUUAUCAUCAGUACAAUUAUUCAUGUGUACAUACUACUGCAAAUUAACAGCUUAAUAAACAAAAUAAACAAGAGAACAUCUGAAACAGGAUAUGAGAAUCAGUUGGGUGAAUUAGGUGCGAAGCAUAUUGAAAAUAAAAAUUGUACCACUGAAACAACUGUACACAUUUAAUGAAGCAACGGCUAGAUUAUAAGUACAUAUAUAAUUACAACUCUACAGAAACUAAAAACUUAAAUCAAAUCGCAUGUUGCAACCCCCAAAGUCGAAAUAAAUAUUUGAAUUUGACACGCGUGAGCGUUGUCUAUUCUUUGUACUAAAUAAAGAAAAUUAAAAAUUAAUAUAGAAUUUCAUUACAUGUUAAAUUAAAAAAACUAAUUAUUAAAUUAAUCUAAAAAUGUAAUCUUAACCUAAUAAAAUAAGAAAUACUAAAGAUAUAUGGGAAGAAUAAAAGGAAACCAAUGAGAUUCAAAAUAUGCAAAACUAUUUUAUUUAGUGUAGUUUUAAUUAUGUUUUACAGAAUUUAUGGAAUUUCUUGGUUAUUAAAACCACACAGUAUCAUAGUUGUAUAUUUUAUAUUAAUAAAUAAAAAUAAAUAUAUUUUUUUUAUAAA